CUGAAAGUAAAAUGUAAAAACUAGGCAAGUCAACAAAAUUUACAAAAAUCAGUGAGAGGCAACAGAUUAUUCCUAAAGCUACACACAAAGAAAUUUUACAAGACUAAUGCAGCAUAUAGGGCAAGCUAUAAAAAUGGUGGUUGAAAACAACAAAUUACAGUAACAAUCACAUAUUCGCAACUAAGUAGUGGAAAAUGCUCCAUCUCUGUUAUUUCUUAAUCUUCCAUUCUUUUCCUCAUUUAUUUUAGAAACUUUUCCCCAAUCCUCAACUUGAAGGUAUAGUGUUGUUAACCUGGCACCUCAAUAUUAGGUACACUUCAAUUUUUCUUGUGAUACUUUCCUUGGAAUGUUAUGGGUGGCCUUAGCAUUAGAAAUGCCUUACAAUUGAAUAUCAUAGAUGAAAGGAAGACAUCCAUCCCGUAUAUGAGAGGCAUUAGGAUAGUUUGCAUGUGUUAACAUCCUCUUAAGACAAACAUCUUUCUGCAGCACAUUAAUCAAUUGUAAUUUUUCACAUUCCAAACAUUCUCAAUUUGAGUUUCUAUAUGACUAACUCCGAAAAACGAAAAACUUGUAAGAGCUCCACACUCAAGUAAAUGAAAGAAAUAACAUAUUUAAGUCUCCGUUCAUGUUUCAUUUAUUCCCGUUUCACUCUUGAAGCUUAGCUUUGCACCUACAAGUGGAAGCCUUUUGGAUAUUUCUAUAUGUACACACUACACCUAUGAUUACCAGGACACCUUCAUUCUUUAUGAUAUACACACUCAUUAGAAAAAUAAACAAUUUCCUUGGAAAGUCUACCUGAAAUAGAAGUUAGAUCGCGUGACCACAAACAAGGACAAUAGCAUGAAGAGGAAAUGCAGAAGCAAGAAAAUUUAUACAAUUAUAAACCAACAAAUGAUGUUUCUCCCUAAUAAACUGGAACCAAUUUAUAACGAAAACAUACCUU
This 943-nucleotide long non-coding RNA is filed under the name Olea europaea (common olive). RNAcentral's name for it is "long non-coding RNA (OEUR_LNC003924)". Lineage: Eukaryota; Viridiplantae; Streptophyta; Magnoliopsida; Lamiales; Oleaceae. The record is from RNAcentral.